Molecule: ribosomal RNA, 440 nt
Filed under: uncultured bacterium
Lineage: Bacteria
Description: partial 16S ribosomal RNA
Rfam family: Bacterial small subunit ribosomal RNA
Source: RNAcentral
CCUACGGGAGGCAGCAGUGGGGGAUAUUGCACAAUGGGGGGAACCCUGAUGCAGCGACGCCGCGUGGGUGAAGGAGUGCUUCGGCAUGUAAAGCCCUAUCGGCAGGGAAGAAGCAAGACGGUACCCAAAGAGGAAGCUCCGGCUAACUACGUGCCAGCAGCCGCGGUAAUACGUAGGGAGCGAGCGUUGUCCGGAAUUACUGGGUGUAAAGGGAGCGUAGGCGGGGAUGCAAGUUGGAUGUUUAAACUAUCGGCUCAACCGGUAAUUGCAACCAAAACUGCAACUCUUGAGUGAAGUAGAGGCAGGCGGAAUUCCUAGUGUAGCGGUGAAAUGCGUAGAUAUUAGGAGGAACACCAGUGGCGAAGGCGGCCUGCUGGGCUUUAACUGACGCUGAGGCUCGAAAGCGUGGGGAGCAAACAGGAUUAGAUACCCCUGUAGUC